AUUCCAGCUCCAAUAGCGUAUAUUUUAGUUGUUGCAGUUAAAAAGCUCGUAGUUGAAUUUCUGGUGGGAAGAUGCGGACGGCCUCAUGGCUUGUUCCAAGUCUUCCGGCCAUCCUUGGGUGGAGCUCGUCUGGCAUUAAGUUGUCGGGCGGGGGAUGCCCAUCGUUUACUGUGAAAAAAUUAAAGUGUUCAAAGCAGACUUAUGUCGGUGAAUAUAUUAGCAUGGAAUAAUAAGAUAGGACAGCAGUGCUAUUUUGUUGGUUUGCGCACCGUUGUAAUGAUGAAUAGGGACAGUUGUGGGUAUUUAUAUUCACUUGUAAGAGGUGAAAUUCUUAGAUUAAGGGAAGAUAAACUACUGCGAAAGCAUUUACCAAGGACGUUUUCAUCA
Molecule: ribosomal RNA, 387 nt
Filed under: Chaetoceros sp.
Lineage: Eukaryota; Bacillariophyta; Thalassiosirophyceae; Chaetocerotales; Chaetocerotaceae
Description: partial small subunit ribosomal RNA
Rfam family: Eukaryotic small subunit ribosomal RNA
Source: RNAcentral